RNAcentral lists this ribosomal RNA (429 nucleotides) under uncultured bacterium. Its description in RNAcentral is "bacterial SSU rRNA". It matches the Rfam family "Bacterial small subunit ribosomal RNA", at positions 917 to 1345 of the family's 1533-position model. The record is from RNAcentral.
GGGCCCGCACAAGCGGUGGAGUAUGUGGUUUAAUUCGAUGCAACGCGAAGAACCUUACCAGGGUUUGACAUCCUGCGAAUCUCUUGGAAACAGGAGAGUGCCUUCGGGAACGCAGUGACAGGUGGUGCAUGGCUGUCGUCAGCUCGUGUCGUGAGAUGUUGGGUUAAGUCCCGCAACGAGCGCAACCCUUGUCCUUAGUUGCCAGCACAUAAUGGUGGGAACUCUAAGGAGACUGCCGGUGACAAACCGGAGGAAGGUGUGGAUGACGUCAAGUCAUCAUGCCCCUUACAUCCUGGGCUACACACGUACUACAAUGCUACGGACAAAGGGCUGCAAGUUCGCGAGGACAAGCAAAUCCCAUAAACCGUGGCUCAGUUCAGAUCGUAGGCUGCAACUCGCCUACGUGAAGGCGGAAUCGCUAGUAAUCGC